CAAAAUGUUGUCAUUGGAUAACCAUACCUUACACAAAGCAAUGUUUCCUAGUUAAAGAUAUGAUUAAUCAAUAAUACAAAAACAAGUAUUCCAGCUCUGUGUGAUAGCUAAACGAAGCCACCAUCUUCAUAAUUCUACCUGCCAAGUGGUUUGUGUAUUGUUUCAUUGAUACCUGGUGAAGAAGGUCUAUGUGAUAUUUAUUAUAGUAGAAGAUGUCAUUAAGACGACAACGCUUCGUUUUAUUUCGUGAGUUGAUGAAAAGAGAAAUUUACCGCGGCAAUUUUAUACAAAAUAAACGUACUCGGGAGUAAAAUAUAAAGCAUACACUACUUCCAUAUAAUCUAUUUACUGGAAAUCAGACUGUUUUGUCCGGCAAUUUUUCCUAUGCCAAAUUCAAUUAAAGCUCAAGGAAAUGCAAGAGAAAGGAAUCGGCAAGGAGUCUGUUCUCACUGUUUUAUUUUCAUGUUUAAAUUUUAUUCUUACGAAAACCUAUGAACAAUUGUAAUUGCGUUUUCUUUUGUUAAAUCUAUGAAAGCUAAAAUCCGAAAGCUAAAA
Molecule: long non-coding RNA, 555 nt
Organism: Hydractinia symbiolongicarpus
Lineage: Eukaryota; Metazoa; Cnidaria; Hydrozoa; Anthoathecata; Hydractiniidae
Exons: 2
Source: RefSeq, a predicted model, not a curated record